RNAcentral lists this long non-coding RNA (1723 nucleotides) under Oryza sativa (Asian cultivated rice). Its description in RNAcentral is "long non-coding RNA (OSAT_LNC001585)". The record is from RNAcentral. Lineage: Eukaryota; Viridiplantae; Streptophyta; Magnoliopsida; Poales; Poaceae.
CCCAUUCCGUCCCGGCGUCCCCAAAAUCCCAAAUCAAUCAUCCUCAAAUUACCUCCAAAUCCACAAUCGAUCAUCUCAAAUACUCAAAUACAUCACAAAAUCUUAAAAAAAAAAUUACAUCACAACUUCUACAAAAUUACAUAUUCACAUCACACACAAAUCAAAUACAUCACACAACAAUCUCAGAUCCAAUCAAAUACAUCACACAACAAUCUCAAAUUCUCCAAAAAAAAAAAAAAGAAAAAAACCACCGGCUCGCCGCACCAGCCGGCCGGCCCUCCGCGCCCCGCCGCCCUCGCGCCGGCCGCCGCCUCUCCGCGCCUGGCCGCCCUCGCGCCGGCCUGGCCUUCACGCCUCGCCGCCCUCGCACCGGCCGCCGCCGCCGCGCCGGCCUGUUAGAGAGGAGAGGAGAGGAAUAGAUAAGGUUGAGGAGAGAAGUUAAAAGGAGAGGAGAUAAGGUUGAGGAGAGGAGGAGAGACGAGUUAAAGGAGAGGAGGAGAUACCUCGAUCCGAUCGCGCACGCCUCACCGAUCUCAGCGUCGAUAUUUUUUCCCGGUUGGGACUAUAAAUAGAUCUUUAGUCCGGGAGUAAAGCGUAUGACGAUCUUUUUUCCCGGUUGGUGUUAUCAACCGGGACUACAAAUAGAUCGUUAGUCCCGGUUGGUAACACCAACCGGUACUAAAGAUUAAAAAGUACCCUGGAGCUUUUAAACCGGGACUAAAGAUGUUUUUAGUCCCAAUUUUUUAUACAACUGGGACUAUUGUGAAAUCUGGUCGACCGACCAAAGAUGGUUUCUCCACCAGUGAAUGUCUUGUAGAUUAUUUUUCCCUUCUCAUUUAUGUUUCUUUAAUUCAAUAUAUUGUGGGACCCACCUAAUGCCAUCCAUAGUAGGGGCAAACUGUAACUUCGUUUCAAGAAAGCAGGGGUAAAUUCGCAAACCCUAAAAAAUAAGGGCAAAAUCACAGUUGCAGUUAAAAGUUGGGGUAUAAACACAAUUAUCCCCGAUGGCUUUGCGGAGGACGGAAAAAAAAUUAGGUGUGGUGGUGUGGCCCAUGGGCUAUCGCGAGAAUUAGGCCAUAGCAAGAAGAAAGGGAAAAAAAACAAUCUCAAUGCACGAUAUUAUAUGAACAAUAUCCUAUCAUGAUGCAAUCUAAAACAUGCCAACAAGCACUAGUCAUAAGCUCACAAUUCAUCAUCCAUUUACCAAAAGUUUAAAUAGAAGAGGCACUCAGAAAUACCUCAAGAUUUUAGCUGUCAACAAUACAUCACAUGAAAGAACUAGUGUGGAUAGAUAGACAUGUAGUGAUGUAGAAACUGCAAAACAAAUGGAAAAGAUUGAUUAGUAUACUAUAUAAUUGAGAAUUGAGAUUAAUAAGAUAAAGAGUAAUUGAGAUUGACUCUGCCUGCUCCCUGCUGCCCCUGCCUGCGGGCAGCUCUACCUGAUUGCUAGCUAGCCGCCUGCCUCCCGCGGCCGCCACGCAGCUGCCUGCCUGGCCGGCUGGCCGCCGCCUGCCUCCCCACGCCGGCACAUCGCCGCGCCGCUGCCUGGCCGCCGCGGCGCCGCCUGCCUCCCCGCGCGGCCUCACCCUGCCGGCUUCCACGCCCCUCCUCGAGCAGUGCCCCCACCGACCACCGCAGCGCCGCCGCUAGCCCCCGUCGGCCGUCGCUUGCCCUCAGUCAGAUUGAGGAUUUGGGGGGAUUGGGAAAUUUUGGAGUUAGGGUU